ACGCUCGACACCUACGGUAGGCAGCAGUGGGGAAUAUUGCACAAUGGGGGAAACCCUGAUGCAGCGACGCCGCGUGAGCGAAGAAGUAUUUCGGUAUGUAAAGCUCUAUCAGCAGGGAAGAAACUGACGGUACCUGACUAAGAAGCACCGGCUAAAUACGUGCCAGCAGCCGGGUAAUCUGAGCGGGCUGGCAAGGC
RNAcentral lists this ribosomal RNA (197 nucleotides) under uncultured bacterium. RNAcentral's name for it is "partial 16S ribosomal RNA". It matches the Rfam family "Bacterial small subunit ribosomal RNA", at positions 326 to 539 of the family's 1533-position model. The record is from RNAcentral.